Molecule: non-coding RNA, 540 nt
Organism: Prunus avium (sweet cherry)
Lineage: Eukaryota; Viridiplantae; Streptophyta; Magnoliopsida; Rosales; Rosaceae
Source: RefSeq, a predicted model, not a curated record
GGAUCUUAGCUUCUCGGAAGUGACAUCAGCCGUUGUCCGCCAGAAUCUGAGGCCUGAGAUGCCUCGUUGUUGCCCAAGCUCUCUUGCAAAUGUAAUGAAGCGAUGUUGGGAUGCAAACCCUGACAAGCGGCCGGAGAUGGAUGAGGUGGUGGCCAUGUUGGAGGCUAUUGACACAUCUAAAGGUGGAGGUAUGAUCCCUGGGGAUCAGCCUCAGGGCUGUUUCUGUUUCCGCAGGUACCGAGGACCGUGAAAGUUUUGCUCCUUUUCUGGCAAUAGAGAGUGGGGAAUGCGAUGGUUCUGGAAAUUCAAUUUGUAUUUUACUGAAUUGAAUAGGUUGAAAAUUAAGAAGAGUCAUAGUGAAUACAAAACCGUGGAGGCUGUUGUCUAAAGAGGAGCUCAGCAGUAUCUGUUACUUUGUUGGACUAUAGAUUUGUAAAGAGUUUCUUUCUUUUUGCCAAGUUCACCUAUUUCAUAAAAACCAUGAAAUUUACAAGCUUAAUUGCUUAAUAUCAAUUCAUGAGACGAGCUUGGAUAGAUGAA